GUAGAGAUUGCCAAUGUGUGACAGUGGAGGGAGAUCGUCAUCAUAGAGGGUAGAUGGAGGCAGGCAGACCAUCAUUAGUAUCAAUGCAGGGUCUUUUUUGUGGGUGGUGGUGGACUUCAAGGGGGUCGUUGUCAUUGAGGGGCUAGGACAUGAGUACGGACACUUGGGAAGGGGAUAAGGGUAGAUGAGAAAAGGUCUGAGCAUUUUGCAGAAUGUUAUUUAUUAAUGAUCCUGGAGGGACACGUAUUACAUUUCUCUAUACUGUGUCAAUGAGUUAUGUUGUCCCGUGUAUACUAGAGUUUUGAAAAUUAUCAGCAAGCAGUCGUGUCCAUAUGGCUUGCUGCUGAUGCAGUUGUAGUUUUCUGAACAGGUAAGUAAUUGAAUCAAAAUCUCAUUUAAUGAUCACGUUAACUUUUGAAAUCUCAUUUAAUGGCGUAAACUUUUGAUAAGUGGUAUCUGAGCAUUUUGCAGAAUGUUAUCUAUUCAUGAUCCACCAUUUUCCUUAGCUCAUACAAACUAGGCAAAUUGCCUUUGAUUUUUACUCAAAUAAAUGAAAAUGGUACUUUGAAUGGUUAGGAUGAAUAACGACCACUGAAACCAACUAGGGAAAGGUGUGUUCUGAUGUCUGGUUCUGACUGGAUGAUAAACGUUUUUUGCCCAAUACUUGCUUGUCAUUUGAAGGAAUUGUAUAGUCUCAACUUGAAUGCUAGGCAUCCUUGAGCAGCUUUAAUAUAAUGCAUUUGAGAACUACUAGAGGUUACCCAAACUGUUCCCUCCAACUGAUUUCCCUUGGGAACUGCUGCAAAGUUUAGUUAAUUCAAGAGGCAAGAUUUUAAUUGUAUAAGUUAUUUGAAGAAAUCGUUCAACUAACCUCAGACAUAUUACAGAUGCUUGAUGAUUUCGUGGAUGUUACCAAAGAUGAGAAGCAAAUGAUGCAUCUGUGGAACUCAUUUGUUAGAAAGCAAA
This 966-nucleotide long non-coding RNA is filed under the name Nicotiana benthamiana. RNAcentral describes it as "long non-coding RNA (NBEN_LNC004352)". Lineage: Eukaryota; Viridiplantae; Streptophyta; Magnoliopsida; Solanales; Solanaceae. The record is from RNAcentral.